This 759-nucleotide ribosomal RNA is filed under the name Triticum aestivum (bread wheat). RNAcentral's name for it is "partial small subunit ribosomal RNA". The record is from RNAcentral. Lineage: Eukaryota; Viridiplantae; Streptophyta; Magnoliopsida; Poales; Poaceae.
AUGGAGGCGGCGAUGGAUCUGAUGCGGCGGAUGCCGCCGGGGAGCACCGAGACGGCGCUCAACGCGCUGCUCUCCCUCCUCCCCGACCACUCCCUCGACCUCCUCUCCCAGGUCGAUCUCCCGCUCCAGGUUUGCAUGGAUAAGGAGAACAAUAAGGAAUACAUUCUUUGCGAGUAUAACCGCGACGCUGAUUCCUAUCGAUCACCUUGGUCAAACAUAUAUGAGCCUCCUUUAGAAGAUGGGACAGUUCCCUCAGAAGAGAUGAGGAAUCUUGAAGUCGAGGCAAAUGAGGUUUUCUCUGUCUACCGUGAUCAGUACUAUGAAGGUGGGAUCUCAUCUGUGUACAUUUGGGAGGAUGAAGACGAGAGUUUCAUUGCAUGCUUCUUAAUAAAGAAAGAUGGACAAGGGAAAAGAGGUUAUAUGCAAAUAGGUUCGUGGGAUGCUAUUCAUGUUAUCCAGGUUGGUCCUGAAGAGGAAGGAGCAGCACAUUACUGCUUGAACAGCACUGUUAUGCUGUCAUUGACAACAGAUAACAAGCAAUCGGGAACUUUCAACUUGUCCGGAUCAAUUAGGCGGCAGAUGAGCAUGACUCUCGCUGUGGCAGAUGGGCAUCUGGUUAACAUGGGGAAAAUGAUAGAAGAGAUGGAGGGCAAGCUGAGAAAUUCACUGGACCAGGUCUAUUUUGGGAAAACCAGGGAAAUGGUUUGCACUCUUAGGCCACCGCCUGAAGUACUUAACAUGAGACUACCCGACAGCUGA